This 417-nucleotide ribosomal RNA is filed under the name NC10 bacterium enrichment culture clone TH4-7. Its description in RNAcentral is "bacterial SSU rRNA". It matches the Rfam family "Bacterial small subunit ribosomal RNA", at positions 1000 to 1414 of the family's 1533-position model. Lineage: Bacteria; Methylomirabilota (SeqCode). The record is from RNAcentral.
CCCGAAAGGGUAGGGUGCCCGCAAGGGAGCGUGGAGACAGGUGGUGCAUGGCUGUCGUCAGCUCGUGUCGUGAGAUGUUGGGUUAAGUCCCGCAACGAGCGCAACCCUCACCCUUUGUUGCCACCAGGUUAUGCUGGGCACUCUAAGGGAACUGCCUCGGUUAACGAGGAGGAAGGUGGGGAUGACGUCAAGUCAUCAUGCCCCUUACGCUCUGGGCUACACACGUGCUACAAUGGCCAAUACAAAGGGCUGCAAACCCGCGAGGGCAAGCCAAUCCCAAAAAAUUGGUCUCAGUUCAGAUUGUAGGCUGUAACCCGCCUGCAUGAAGGAGGAAUCGCUAGUAAUCGUGGAUCAGCAUGCCACGGUGAAUACGUUCCCGGGCCUUGUACACACCGCCCGUCACACCACGAAAGUCUG